This 190-nucleotide microRNA precursor is filed under the name Oryza sativa Japonica Group (Japanese rice). Lineage: Eukaryota; Viridiplantae; Streptophyta; Magnoliopsida; Poales; Poaceae. The record is from RNAcentral.
GGAAACUUGGAAACUACCGUUGGAUUGGGAAAUGGACGUCCGAGAUUCGUCCACGUCACCAUGAGUUAAAAUUUAACUCGCAGAUUCACUUAUGAGUUUAAAAUUUUACUAGGAGUUAAAUUUUAACUCAUGGUGACGUGGGCGAAUCUCGGACGUCCAUUUCUCGAUCCAACGGUAGUUCCAAGUUUCC